AUGGUUAAAAAUCAUGAUGAAUCUUCUGAACUUGAUUGGAGCACAUGCUACAAAAUAAUCAAGGGGGUUUGCUUUGGUUUAUGUUACCUCCACGAGCAAACAGAUAAGCCUAUUAUUCACCUUGACUUGAAGCCUGCGAACAUAUUGCUCGAUGACACUACUAGGGAAAAUCCUAGUAGUAGCGCUUAA
This 189-nucleotide ribosomal RNA is filed under the name Triticum aestivum (bread wheat). RNAcentral's name for it is "partial small subunit ribosomal RNA". The record is from RNAcentral. Lineage: Eukaryota; Viridiplantae; Streptophyta; Magnoliopsida; Poales; Poaceae.